Molecule: ribosomal RNA, 486 nt
Filed under: uncultured bacterium
Lineage: Bacteria
Description: bacterial SSU rRNA
Rfam family: Bacterial small subunit ribosomal RNA
Source: RNAcentral
GAUGAACGCUGGCGGCGUGCCUAAUACAUGCAAGUCGAACGAGGUGCUUUUGUAGCAAUACGAGAGUAUCCUAGUGGCGAACGGGUGAGUAACGCGUUGGUGACCUACCCCAAAGUGUGGGAUAACAGUCCGAAAGGAUUGCUAAUACCGCAUGUGGUCUUCGGGUUUAGAAACUGAUGACUAAAGGAGCAAUUCGCUUUGGGAGGGACCUGCGUCCCAUCAGCUAGUUGGUGAGGUAAUGGCUCACCAAGGCUACGACGGGUAGGGGACCUGAGAGGGUGACCCCCCCACAAUGGAACUGAAACACGGUCCAUACACCUACGGGUGGCAGCAGUAGGGAAUAUUGCACAAUGGGCGAAAGCCUGAUGCAGCAACGCCGCGUGUGCGAUGAAGGCCUUCGGGUCGUAAAGCACUUUUCUGGGAGAUGAGCAAGGACAGUAUCUCAGGAAUAAGUCUCGGCUAACUACGUGCCAGCAGCCGCGGUAA